This 412-nucleotide ribosomal RNA is filed under the name uncultured bacterium. RNAcentral describes it as "bacterial SSU rRNA". It matches the Rfam family "Bacterial small subunit ribosomal RNA", at positions 372 to 775 of the family's 1533-position model. The record is from RNAcentral.
UGGGGGAAACCCUGACGCAGCAACGCCGCGAGAGUGAUGAAGGCCUUCGGGUCGUAAAGCUCUGUCAGAGGGGCAGAAAUGCAGGGGUGCUAAUAUCAUCUUUGCUUGACGGUACCCUCAAAGGAAGCACCGGCUAACUCCGUGCCAGCAGCCGCGGUAAUACGGAGGGUGCGCGCGUUGUUCGGCAUUAUUCGGCGUAAAGCGCGUGUAGGCGGUUUGAUAAGUCUGAUGUGAAAGCCCCGGGCUCAACCUGGGAAGUGCAUUGGGAACUGUCAGACUUGAAUACGGGAGAGGGUAGUGGAAUUCCGAGUGUAGGAGUGAAGUCCGUAGAUAUUAUGAGGAACACCGGUGGCGAAGGCGGCUACCUGGACCGAUAUUGACGCUGGGACGCGAAAGCGUGGGGAGCAAACAG